GAUGAACGCUGGCGGCGUGCCUAAUACAUGCAAGUCGAGCGAACGGACGAGAAGCUUGCUUCUCUGAUGUUAGCGGCGGACGGGUGAGUAACACGUGGUUAACCUACCUAUAAGACUGGGAUAACUUCGGGAAACCGGAGCUAAUACCGGAUAAUAUUUUGAACCGCAUGGUUCAAAAGUGAAAGACGGCCUUGCUGUCACUUAUAGAUGGAUCCGCGCUGCAUUAGCUAGUUGGUAAGGUAACGGCUUACCAAGGCAACGAUGCAUAGCCGACCUGAGAGGGUGAUCGGCCACACUGGAACUGAGACACGGUCCAGACUCCUACGGGAGGCAGCAGUAGGGAAUCUUCCGCAAUGGGCGAAAGCCUGACGGAGCAACGCCGCGUGAGUGAUGAAGGUCUUCGGAUCGUAAAACUCUGUUAUUAGGGAAGAACAUAUGUGUAAGUAACUGUGCACAUCUUGACGGUACCUAAUCAGAAAGCCACGGCUAACUACGUG
RNAcentral lists this ribosomal RNA (497 nucleotides) under uncultured bacterium. Its description in RNAcentral is "partial 16S ribosomal RNA". It matches the Rfam family "Bacterial small subunit ribosomal RNA", at positions 28 to 507 of the family's 1533-position model. The record is from RNAcentral.